AGCAGUCGCCGCGGUAAUACGUAGGGUGCAAGCGUUAAUCGGAAUUACUGGGCGUAAAGCGUGCGCAGGCGGUUAUAUAAGACAGAUGUGAAAUCCCCGGGCUCAACCUGGGAACUGCAUUUGUGACUGUAUAGCUAGAGUACGGCAGAGGGGGAUGGAAUUCCGCGUGUAGCAGUGAAAUGCGUAGAUAUGCGGAGGAACACCGAUGGCGAAGGCAAUCCCCUGGGCCUGUACUGACGCUCAUGCACGAAAGCGUGGGGAGCAAACAGGAUUAGAUACCCGUGUAGUCCCUGUCUCUUAUAC
Molecule: ribosomal RNA, 303 nt
Filed under: uncultured bacterium
Lineage: Bacteria
Description: partial 16S ribosomal RNA
Rfam family: Bacterial small subunit ribosomal RNA
Source: RNAcentral